Pelobates cultripes (western spadefoot toad) is the source of this 224-nucleotide non-coding RNA. NCBI's taxonomy places the organism in Eukaryota, Metazoa, Chordata, Amphibia, Anura, Pelobatidae. The record is from the annotation of a GenBank genome assembly.
GAACAAACCAUUGAAAUAUACAUAUCGAUGGUGGAACGUACGAUCACCGCCAGUGUAACGCAAACUUCAUAGUCAUGCGCCACUGGAAAACGGCGCACCAGAAGUGAAAAUACGAAAUGAGCUUCAGACUGACCUUGAAUUAGAAAACGUGACAGGAACAGCUGAGAAACACAAGCAAACACCUCCUGGACCACCAAUAAGAAGACACAAGAGCCAUAUAUAAG